RNAcentral lists this ribosomal RNA (494 nucleotides) under uncultured bacterium. RNAcentral's name for it is "partial 16S ribosomal RNA". It matches the Rfam family "Bacterial small subunit ribosomal RNA", at positions 28 to 507 of the family's 1533-position model. The record is from RNAcentral.
GACGAACGCUGGCGGCGUGCUUAACACAUGCAAGUCGAACGGAAAGGCCUGCUUUCCCUUGUGGAUUGCGGGUACUCGAGUGGCGAACGGGUGAGUAACACGUGAGUGAUCUGCCCCCAACUUGGGUAUAAGCCUGGGAAACUGGGUCUAAUUCCCGAUAGGACUGCAGGGUGGUGCCUGUGGUGGAAAACGAUUUUCUAGUGGUUGGGGAUGAGCUCGCGGCCUAUCAGCUUGUUGGUGGGGUAAUGGCCUACCAAGGCGGCGACGGGUAGCCGGCCUGAGAGGGUGGACGGCCACAUUGAGACUGAGAUACGGCCCAGACUCCUACGGGAGGCAGCAGUGGGGAAUAUUGCGCAAUGGGCGGAAGCCUGAUGCAGCGACGCCGCGUGGGGGAUGACGGCCUUCGGGUUGUAAACUCCUUUCGACCGCGAGGAAGCCACCUGGUUGGAAGGGUGGUGACGGUAGUGGUAGAAGAAGCACCGGCUAACUACGUG